UCCCUGGUGGCCCAGUGGUUAAGAUUCUGCACUCGCAAUGCAGGGGACCUGGGUUCGAUCCCUGGCCAGGGAA
Molecule: non-coding RNA, 73 nt
Organism: Lagenorhynchus albirostris (white-beaked dolphin)
Lineage: Eukaryota; Metazoa; Chordata; Mammalia; Artiodactyla; Delphinidae
Source: the annotation of a RefSeq genome assembly